RNAcentral lists this long non-coding RNA (307 nucleotides) under Mytilus galloprovincialis (Mediterranean mussel). Lineage: Eukaryota; Metazoa; Mollusca; Bivalvia; Mytilida; Mytilidae. The record is from RNAcentral.
ACGUUAUUAUAAUUGUCAUAUCCGUUGUCCGGGCACUAGUCGAAAUUGAUCAGGUCAAGUUUUCUAGCACUUAUUUUUCUUGUACCUUUGAUAACUUUAAAAAAAAAAUGAUAUAUCUUAAAUUUAUUUAACUGACGUUGUCAUCUUGCAUGGUUCAAAAGAUAAAGUAAACCUUUUCAGGACAUUGUCAGGACAUGAAUAUAACCCGCUUUGAUAAUUUUGUAAAUAAAAUCCGUUCUCAUUUAUAAUGUAUACUUUACAACAUAAUUAUUUUCAUUUACCUGUGUAAAUGUUUCUUUUUGGCAAC